UGAGAUAUGCACUUGGAUUGCAUGUAGAUUUUUCUUCCCAUGCUGUCAAAUGUUUAAGGCCUUCAUAAUAACCUGCAUAGUGCAGAUGGAAAUCAUAAUUUUGAAACAAAACUACUCAGAGCUUCUUAUGAAAAGAGCAACAGAAUAAUUUACAGGCCAAAAGCCUAACUGCCUAUGAUUCACCCAUGAUCAAAAGACGGUAUGUUUGAGUUUUCCUUUCCCAGACAAAAUAAAACAAUCUAGUGCGAGGGAAUGAAAGUUAAGAUGUUG
This 270-nucleotide long non-coding RNA is filed under the name Prunus persica (peach). Its description in RNAcentral is "long non-coding RNA (PPER_LNC005057)". The record is from RNAcentral. Lineage: Eukaryota; Viridiplantae; Streptophyta; Magnoliopsida; Rosales; Rosaceae.